This 264-nucleotide ribosomal RNA is filed under the name uncultured bacterium. Its description in RNAcentral is "partial 16S ribosomal RNA". It matches the Rfam family "Bacterial small subunit ribosomal RNA", at positions 793 to 1055 of the family's 1533-position model. The record is from RNAcentral.
GUCCACGCCCUAAACGAUGGCAACUAGUUGUUGGAGGAUGAACUCCUUUAGUAACGCAGCUAACGCGUGAAGUUGCCCGCCUGGGGAGUACGGUCGCAAGAUUAAAACUCAAAGGAAUUGACGGGGGCCCGCACAAGCGGUGGAUGAUGUGGUUCAAUUCGAUGCAACGCGAAAACCUUACCUACCCUUGACAUGCCAGGAAGCCCGAUGAAAGUCGGGUGUGCCCGAAAGGGAACCUGGACACAGGUGCUGCAUGGCUGUCGU